RNAcentral lists this ribosomal RNA (175 nucleotides) under uncultured bacterium. RNAcentral describes it as "partial 16S ribosomal RNA". It matches the Rfam family "Bacterial small subunit ribosomal RNA", at positions 1324 to 1500 of the family's 1533-position model. The record is from RNAcentral.
AGUUGGAAUUGCUAGUAAUCGUAGAUCAGCAUGCUACGGUGAAUACGUUCCCGGGCCUUGUACACACCGCCCGUCACACCAUGAGAGUCGGGAACACCCGAAGUCCGUAGUCUAACCGCAAGGGGGCGCGGCCGAAGGUGGGUCCGGUAAUUGGGUGAAGUCGUAACAAGGUAGC